Molecule: transfer RNA, 73 nt
Filed under: Saprospiraceae bacterium
Lineage: Bacteria; Pseudomonadati; Bacteroidota; Saprospiria; Saprospirales; Saprospiraceae
Description: tRNA-Lys
Rfam family: tRNA
About the family: Transfer RNA (tRNA) molecules are approximately 80 nucleotides in length. Their secondary structure includes four short double-helical elements and three loops (D, anti-codon, and T loops).
Source: RNAcentral
GAUCCCGUAGCUCAGCCGGUAGAGCACUUGACUUUUAAUCAAGGAGUCAUGGGUUCGAAUCCCAUCGGGAUCA